UUUACAUCUAAAGUUAUACAGACAAGGGUAUUGAGAUGAUUUAAUUGUUACUUUAAAUAUAGCACAUGUAUGGAAAUCAGUUAGUGUAAUAAUUAGUCUAAGGUCAUGCAAUAUGUAUAGAGUCUGUAUUUGAUAUUUUUAUUUUGAUAUAGUACAUCUUACAUGUACGAUACAACACUAUUCAGAAGGGAAGUGCCCAUAGCUGUUAGUCACCACGUUUGCACCUUACUUAGGGGAACACUGUACAUAUACUUCAUCACCAUGGAAUAAAGAACUACAACACAAUUUGGAGGUGUUACAUAUCUAUGGAAGCCGCGGUAGGACACGCGAUCAAUUUUUACACAAGAGCUAAGAUUGGAGAGGAACAUUGAGGACAUCGUGAGUUCCACUGGAUUUGCCUUGGACGACUCGGACAACGCCCUCUUAGCAAAGAAACUUUGCGAAUUUCUUAUAAAGUCAAUAUCGGUCUGCAUUUUUGCGUUCUGGUGGAGCUACUACCGCAGCGAACUCUAACGUUAAUGACAGAAUUUGAAAAAAAGCACGGACGUCAGAUUUCAGAUUCAUCAAAAGACAGUUAUGUCAAAGACAGUAUUGAAAAUCAGAUGUCAUUUUCAAAAAAUCUUGUGACAUCAAUGGUUAAUAUUUUCCUGUUUGUGGGAAAAUUAUUCAUUUUGCUUUUCAUAUCUAACUUUUGGACGACUAAAAUUGUAAGCUCACCUGGAUUACGGCUAUAUGGUAGUUAUUUUGUGUAGAUUUAAAAGUGAGGGGUGUAAGGAGUAAAAAUUAUACUAGAUUUUCCCCUCAUUCCGUAGAAUACUGGGAAAAUAUUGUAUGAUAGAAACGUAUUAAAGCGCCAAAAAAGUAGGCGAGGCCAUAGAAAGGCCAAUAAAAUUCUAGUGAAUUCGAGUAAUAGUCUUGUGUUUGGUUAUUCUAAGCCAACGCUUCACACGAGGCGCUCGAGCUUUAUUUUUUAAAUAUCAAAGUUUAGCUCACAUUACUAUCAUUAUUCAAUGUUUACUACGGUAGUUCCGCUUAAAUGCUCGUCCGGCAUUGCCCUAAAGAUGUUAUUUACACUUGCACGGACAGAGGUUUCCAUAGUUAACCAUCUAUGGUUUUUCCUGGGCGGUUUUUAAUGUCAGUGAUGGGGUUAACAAUUUAAACACUUAAUACAAAGCAGAACUUCAUAUUUUCGUUUCAAAUAUUUUCGUAAUACUGUAUAUGUUGGCGUCGUUCAUAAAAAAUAUGGCAUUGUAUGUAUAUAUGUGCAUUUGUAUGGCGUUACAUAAUAAACGCCGGCUGCUCCAACAAGCUCGCCUGGGUUACGAUGA
Molecule: long non-coding RNA, 1328 nt
Organism: Ostrea edulis (European flat oyster)
Lineage: Eukaryota; Metazoa; Mollusca; Bivalvia; Ostreida; Ostreidae
Exons: 3
Source: RefSeq, a predicted model, not a curated record